UUAUUUGCUUUGUAUUGGGAGAGGGUACUAAGAAGUUGAAUCAUGAUGUUGUUCAUAGUAAAUUUAAUCUGUUCUACAUUUGAUAUCUUAUCCAUGAACAACAGAAGGCAUUAGAAGGCAAGCAAUAUUUCACAAUUAAAAAUCUCAAACAAAAUUCAUUGGACAGCUAUCAACACACACAUUAUUCCGAAUAAACAAGAAAGGAUAUAUGUCACAUUGAGUUUCCUUUGCUUCUAUUCUCAAUAAUAAACACCGACACCAGAAGGUGUGAUUAUUUUUCUCAACGAUGACCUUGUAAAGGUUUUUAGCUCAGAAACAAAAUCAUCAUCAACCAAACUACAGUUCUUU
Molecule: long non-coding RNA, 348 nt
Filed under: Cicer arietinum (chickpea)
Lineage: Eukaryota; Viridiplantae; Streptophyta; Magnoliopsida; Fabales; Fabaceae
Description: long non-coding RNA (CARI_LNC003784)
Source: RNAcentral